CUUCAUAAUUUGAAAGAAUGAUAUAUUUUAUCUACAAAAUUAUUUGUCUUAUUCUGACUUGAAGCUUGAAUGUAAGAUCUCGUUUUAAAUAUUUGAUCGCACUCCGUAUCAAUUAAAUAUACAAAUUUAGUAAAUUAGUUGAGGACAUAUACAAAAUAAGAUAUUCAUAUACUCAAAUAAGAUCUACCGCAAAAAAUAAAUGUAUAUUUUUUCUGAGAAAAUAAUAAUAAGCUAACGUAACUAACAUUUCGUUUAUUUUUUAAAAAUAUAAAUUUAAUAAAAGGGUUAAUUUUAUAUAUGUCCCUGCAAAUAUAAUGAAUAGCAAAUAUAUUCCUAUAAAGUUCAACUUUCAUAUGUUGUCUCUGCAAAAGUUUUAAUGUUUUCAAAUAUAUUCCUCUGAUUUGUUAUCGUUAGAGAACCGUUUAUAUUUUCAAUUUUGUCAUCACAAAUAUAUCCCUCCAAAAACCAUACUAGUAUAAUAUAAAGGGAUAAAAAUGUCAAAAACUAACUAGAGUUCAGUAUUUAACCUAUGGUUAAUUAAUUUUUUCUAACUGAUUCUUACGACAGGAACAUAUUUGAAGAUAUCAACAGUUUUACAGAGACAAUAUAUAAAAAUUAAAUUACAUAAAAAUAUAUUUAUUAUUUAUUAUAUUUGAAAGGACACGUAUGAAAUUAACCGUCAGUAAA
RNAcentral lists this long non-coding RNA (687 nucleotides) under Ananas comosus (pineapple). RNAcentral describes it as "long non-coding RNA (ACOM_LNC015187)". Lineage: Eukaryota; Viridiplantae; Streptophyta; Magnoliopsida; Poales; Bromeliaceae. The record is from RNAcentral.